UUUACUCUUUAUCUCAGACGACAACAACAAUUUCAAUGAUAACACAACAACAACAAUACAACAAACACCGUCGCGAUAACAACAACCAAAAACCGCGACUUAGGUUUUGACCCCAUUUUGCCUCGACCAGCGGCGACCCAUGCCCGAACCAACUCGAACAACUCAGCAGUGGUCUGAAAACUCCUUUCCCGCCUUCGUUUGCUCUAUUUGCUUCCCAAAAUAGUGGAAUCUUCUAGAUAACGUUAAGGUGGCCUCUCAAACGGUUAGAUUCAUACGAAUCCGUACCUAUGUGAGUGAAUUUCAUUGGUUCUUUGGGAAUUAUUCUUUUCCCCCAAUUUCUAUUGGUCAAUUUUUUUCAAAUUUAUUCAAGAAAAGCUAAAUUUUGUACAAAUUAUAGGCUGGAAAAUCUUAUCUCCAGCCUCAAGAGUGUUUUUAUUCUGAGCCGGGGUAUGUGGGAAGUAGCCUCUCUACUUCGUCUAAAGUAGUGGUAUGGACUAUAUACAUUUAUCUCUCCCUAUACUCCACUUUGUGGGAAUAUGUUGAAUAUGUUGUAUUAUCUUGAUGAUAGCCAAUUGCAUGACUUUACUAUAUUGAGCAUGCUCAUUUGCCUUAGCAUUUCUACAUCCGGACCUACUGCCUUCUAUUUUAUUUUGGAUUACUAUAGUUGUCUUUUCAUCUAUCGACUUGUUUAUCCCCGUAGCAUUUCAUACUUUGGAUACGUAUUAAUUUCCUUUCUUUCUUCCUUUGCAUGUGAAUUCGUUGGAGUCCAAACCGACACUUUGCAUUCUCUAAUGGGCCAAUAAGGCCCAUCUUUUGAGUCAAACCCGAAAGAGAGUUUAGAGUCUAUUACAUAGCGCGUGAAUACAAGGAGUCCAAAGAAGAAGAAUGGACUAAAGUCCUGUCUUUGAAGUGGCAAAGAGACUCAGAAGUCUCAUUUUUUUUAUUUUAUUCAUUUAUUGUUUUUUUUUUAAUUAUUUAUUUAUUUCUUCCUUUCAUUAUUUAUUCAUUUGGGCCUUGGAUCCAAAGUUGUAAACUAAUACAGGUGAAGUGAAAUUUGAGCCAAAGGUUCAAAAAAAUAGUUAGGACAGGUUAUGGGUCAAAGCUCAAUAUCUAGAUUAGGACAGGUAAAGUUGGGCUGAAAGUCCAAUUAGACUAGGAUAGGGUGAUAAGCCCAAAUCAUUUAUUUAUUCUCCUUCUUCCCCCUUUAUAUA
Long non-coding RNA from Capsicum annuum, 1211 nucleotides. RefSeq lists it as uncharacterized. Lineage: Eukaryota; Viridiplantae; Streptophyta; Magnoliopsida; Solanales; Solanaceae. The record is from RefSeq and is a predicted model, not a curated record. The transcript is spliced from 2 exons.